Molecule: ribosomal RNA, 203 nt
Filed under: uncultured bacterium
Lineage: Bacteria
Description: partial 16S ribosomal RNA
Rfam family: Bacterial small subunit ribosomal RNA
Source: RNAcentral
UUGUAGUCUGCAACUCGACUACAUGAAGCUGGAAUCGCUAGUAAUCGCGAAUCAGAAUGUCGCGGUGAAUACGUUCCCGGGUCUUGUACACACCGCCCGUCACACCAUGGGAGUUGGGAAUGCCCGAAGCCGGUGACCUAACCGAAAGGGAGGAGCCGUCGAAGGCAGGCUUGAUAACUGGGGUGAAGUCGUAACAAGGUAUC